CUUGAGGAAAAUAUCUAUCGUGUUUGAUAUUUUUCGCCUAAGUACUGAGCUGUUUGAAUCAAUUAGCUAAUGACAAACCAUGGUUUCUUCAUGUGACUUGGAACAAAAUGUAUUGUUGAGUAGCUGAGCUAGCUGCCACGCGAGGCGGUUAGCUCAGCAAGUUGUUCUCGUGAGCGGCGGGUUAAGGUCGGUGAUCCCCAUUUAUUUUAUAGCAUGAUUUCUUUUAGUAGGUUGAAUUAUUUUCCUGAUUUUAAAAAAAUUCUGUCAUGCCAAAUUCUUUUUAAAUCGGAAAAUGUAAUAAUUCAUAACAUAUUUUUUUUCGC
Molecule: non-coding RNA, 323 nt
Organism: Paramuricea clavata
Lineage: Eukaryota; Metazoa; Cnidaria; Anthozoa; Malacalcyonacea; Plexauridae
Source: the annotation of a GenBank genome assembly